Aedes albopictus (Asian tiger mosquito) is the source of this 1766-nucleotide long non-coding RNA. RefSeq lists it as uncharacterized. The record is from RefSeq and is a predicted model, not a curated record. Lineage: Eukaryota; Metazoa; Arthropoda; Insecta; Diptera; Culicidae. The transcript is spliced from 3 exons.
CUGAAAACAUAAUACAUUCUAUGGAGUUCAGGGUGGCCGAGACACAUGGUAGGGUAUUGAUAACUCCAGCUGUAAACAUAAAACAUUAAAACGCAACUUUAUUAACAUAAAAGAUUACAUUGUAAAUGCACGACACGUAUACACAAUGACGGUGCAUCAACCAUUCACAUAUUGAAAUGCUAUCGGUGAGCGAGCACACGCUUAUCUGAAACUACCCAUCGGUUGGGUCGAUUCUACCCGGAUUUUCAUGUUAUUAGCAGUUGUCAGAAUCCGGGUAACCGGUCUCACAUGGAAAGAGUAAGCUUUACCCUGAUUCUGGGUAAACGAGUCUUUGUGAAAAUUUCGAAACCCAAAUUAUCAUGUUGUAUGGCGUUGUCAAAAUCUGGGUAAUCAUUUGGGUAAAUGGGACUUGGCAAAAUUUUUACAUUGGCACGGCAUAAAAUCCAAAAAAAAUGUCGGAGAUCUUCUGGAAGUUUUUGAUGGCAAAAUCUACCAACUGGUGGCUGGCACUCACUGACGGCUGCAACAACGUUGACCAAGUAUCCCGAUGCAGACGGAUCAAACACUUGAUGCUUCCUUGGUUGCUUCCCUUCUGCAAUGGCCACAAGAUGUGGCCAGCUUAAGAAAAACCUACAUGCAGAUCCACCUACUAUUACACAUGAAGCGAGAGCAUCUGGAGCAUCUUCAUCAUCGAGUUCAUCAUGAAAAGAGCCGUUCUUGCAAAGAAUUCCUUCAUAGAUAUUACUAUUUUAUUGUUUAUAGCAGAAUUGAGACAAAUAAAUCUUAUGUGUUUUAUUUAUCUUGUUAUUGUUUUGUUCGACAAAACAAAAAUGUUGGGCGGCAUUCGUAUACUGUCCGCUCACCCAUUUAUAUAAAAAUGGGUAAUGGUUACCCUGAUUAGGAACGUCAAAAUCAGGGUAUCCUUUACCCAGAUUUGGCAACUAACAUCGGUUACCCAGAUUUGAGUAAAGGUACCUUUACCCACUUUAGAGUAACUGCAGUUUUGCUCAAUCUGGGUCACUUUGACACCAAUCUGGGUAGCUGAGGGUUAGCGUGCAGUGGCGAGAGUCGAGAUAAUGUGCAGUGGUUCUCAACAUCUCCCCCUCUAAAUGGUUGCGGUGUAAACCAUAACAGCGGUCUUCGAACGUAGGAAGAGCGAUGAUGGUGGACGUUGUUGGUAGCGUGGUCGAUGAUCAUUUUGACAAGAACUGUUGUUUGAUUAUCGGAGCUUGAUCCUGGUUCCACCAUGGUUGACUAUCCACUCUAAGAUGUCGCUGUAUACCAAUGCGCGUCCACUUGCUGAUCCCAUCCUCGUCGCCACUGUUACAUCCUGAAGUUCAGGGUGGCCGAGACACAUAGUAGUGUAUUGAUAACUCCAGGUGUAAAUAUAAAACAUUAAAACGCAACUUUAUUAACAUAAAAGAUUACAUUGUAAAGGCGCGACACGUAUACACAAUGACGGUUACAGAACUUCUAAAUCUAAUGUCUGCUUUUGUGCAUCAACCGUUCACAUAUUGAAAUACUAUCGGUGAGUGAGCAGAGUGGCGAAAGUCGAGAUAAUGUGCAGUGGUUCUCAACAAAUUCCAAGAUGACCACCACAAUGGUUAACUUUUGCAACUACUCAUGAUUGUACGCAUACAAAUCUCAAAAUAAACUAAAGCAGCGCAUCGGAUUAUCUUAUUUUAAGCUUACUACAAGUGAGCAAGAACAAAAUAAAAAUUACACUAUAGUAGGAUCUUAACUUUGAGCAUCUGAGUUCCAAAUGC